CACGUAGGGGGCGAGCGUUAUCCGGAUUCAUUGGGCGUAAAGCGCGCGCAGGCGGGCGCCUAAGCGGGACCUCUAAUCCUGGGGCUCAACCUCAGGCCGGGUCCCGAACUGGGCGCCUCGGGUGCGGUAGGGGCAGGCGGAAUUCCCGGUGUAGCGGUGGAAUGCGCAGAUAUCGGGAAGAACACCGACGGCGAAGGCAGCCUGCUGGGCCGACACCGACGCUGAGGCGCGAAAGCUAGGGGAGCGAACAG
RNAcentral lists this ribosomal RNA (251 nucleotides) under uncultured bacterium. RNAcentral's name for it is "partial 16S ribosomal RNA". It matches the Rfam family "Bacterial small subunit ribosomal RNA", at positions 524 to 775 of the family's 1533-position model. The record is from RNAcentral.